This 1494-nucleotide long non-coding RNA is filed under the name Chrysolophus pictus (golden pheasant). Its description in RNAcentral is "lncRNA (ENSCPIG00010001510.1)". The record is from RNAcentral. Lineage: Eukaryota; Metazoa; Chordata; Aves; Galliformes; Phasianidae.
GUGCAACCACUCAUCAACACUCUGCUGGCCUCCAGCAACAACCAGUUGGUCUCUAGCAACAAUCAUUUGGCCUCCAGCAACAACCAGCCGGCCUCCAACAACAUCAAAUUGGCCUCCAGCGACAGCCAGUUGGUCUCUGGCAACACCAAAUUGGCCUCCAGCAAUGUGCAACCACUUGUCAACGUCCAGCUGGCAUCCAGCAACAACCAGUCAGCAUCUGGCAAUGCCCAGCUGGCCUCCAACAACACCCGACUGCUCUCCAGCAACACCCAGUUGGCCCCCAGCAACACCCAGCUGGCCUCCAACAGUGUGCAACUGCUUGUCAACUCCCAGUUGGCCUCCAGCAACAAUCAGCUGGCCUCCAAAAACGUACAAUUGCCUUCCAGCAACACCCAACUGCUCAUCAGCACUCAACUGACCUCCAGCAACACCCAACCGAUGGUUAACAACAUCCAGCUGGCCUCCAACAACACCCAACUGAUGGCAGACAACCAACUGACCUCCAACAACACCCAACUGAUGGCCAGCAACACCCAGUCGACCUCCAACAACAACCAGCUGAUGACCAACACCCAAGUGAACAACAACACCCAACUGAACUCCAACAACACCCAACUGACAGCCAGCAACACCCAACCAAGCUCCAACACCCAUCUGAUGGCCAGCAACACCCAAAUGAUCUCCAACAACACCUCACCCAUCUCCAACACCCAACCAAGUUCCAGCAACACCCAACUGAUGGCCAAUAACACCCAACUGAUGGCCAACGACACCCAACUGAUCUCCAACACCCAACUGAUGGCCAACAACACCCCACCCAUCCCCAGCAACACCCAAGCCAUCUCCAACAACACCCAACUGGUCUCCAACACCCAACCAAGUUCUAACAACACCCAACUGAUGGCCAACAGCCGAGCUCCAACCGAGGCCGGGUGACGAAAACACCCCUCCAUCCCAAACCCCCAAACCCAGAACCACCAGUUGGUCUCUCUUGGGUGCUACCCCAAAUUUUUGGGUCCCCCCCACUUCAGAAACCUCCAAACACCCCCAGUCGGUGACAAAAUACCCUCCAACAACAGGCGGAGGAACCCGAAUCCAAUGCCCGGUGUGCCGUCGGGUGUUGAGCUGCCAACGGGGGUCCAGGUCACAUUUUGGGGGUCACAUCCCCUUCCGGUGUAGGGUCUGUGGGAGGGGGUUUUCCAGUCGGGGUCACCUGAAAUCUCAUUUUGGGGGUCACCGUGGGGUCAACCCAAAUACCUGUAGCGUUGGAGAAGGUUUGGGGUCACAACAACGCGACCGGGGUUAUUUGGGGAGGGGGCUGCUGCCCCAAGGGGAGGGGGAACAGCGGAACCAGGAGGAGGAGGAGGAGGAUGGAGAGGAAGAAGCGGGCGAAGCGGACCCCAAAAUUGGGGGGGGACCCUCGGAUGAGGAAGAGGAGGAAGAGGGGAGGAAGGCGGAGAGAAGGAGACGAGCGGGGAGGUAUGGAGGGGGAGG